GUUAGUUAUCUCCUCCUAUGCCAGAAACAUGGAGCCCGUCUUGUUUGCUCUACACGCCUGGCAAGCUGUUUUACUUUGCUUGCUUUUUGCUGUUAUUUAUGUUGGCAGUCUGUAUGCUUGGAUUAACAAUACCAACAGAACUCGAGAUCACCCUGAAAUUAUCAAACGAAGAUUUGUCAGUGUCGGUAUAGUUGCAUUAAUUGUACCACCUCUUUUGUGGUGCUUCAGCAAGUACCAAACUUCCACCAAUCCUGAUGGCCGCACUUUAUUUGAAUGGCUAGGGCUACGUUUCUGGGGAUUUAUACCUGCAUUUGUACUCCCCCUACUACUUACUAUGGUCUUGUUCUCUGGUCCACUUUAUUUACAUUACAUUGAUGGUGUAUUUAGCUUGUAUUUGGAACCGAAAUAUUGGUCAAGUAGUUUUAAGUCACUAAUCUGGCUCCGGAAUCAUUUAGUGGCUCCAUUUUCGGAAGAAUUCAUAUUCCGGGCUUGUAUGUUACCGGUUUUGGUUCCGUCUUUUGGGGAAUGGUAUGCCGUUUUCUGUUGUCCACUCUUCUUCGGGGUCGCUCACUUUCACCACAUGAUCGAAACGGUUAUAUUCGGACACCAAGCAGUUAAAGAUGCCUUGAAGCAGUCUAUUUUCCAAUUGUUCUAUACCACUAUAUUUGGAGCCUACUCAGCAUUCCUCUUUCUACGAACUGGUCACUUAGUGGCGCCUGUCAUUGCACACGCAUUUUGCAACCACAUGGGAUUUCCACCUUUCAACGAAGUAAUGGCUCAUCAACAACCUGGACGAACCAAAAUCAUUUUCUUCUUUAUUGCUGGACUUUCUGCUUGGUUGAUUCUUCUUUAUCCUCUCACCGACCCAAGUUUUUAUUCCAACGUAGUAUAUAAUCUAUAAAACAGUUCAAAUCUUGGCGAAAGUACUGAAUUACUACUAUAUUCACACACAAUUACAUUCACAAAGAGACAGAAAUAUCCUAAAUCAUGAAUUGCCUUAAAAUGUAAUUAUGAAAGAAAAAUAUUUUUAUUACAUUUUUUUUAUAUUUUUCCCCUUCCCUCCAUCCCAAAUUCAUACAGACCCUUAUGGAAUUAAGUCGACUUUUAACAUAAUGGAUUUCGACUUAAAACAAAGGUAUUGACCAUUUUCAAAUUUCUGGUUAGUAAUUUCUCUACUGCUACAUUCAAUCAUAUUACAUGAACUCUACCAUUACAUCUUUUUCUCUUAAUCAUUUUUUUCUCAUUCCUUAUUUCAACUGCUAAACAAAAUUCAAAUUCUUUAAAUCUAUCUGUUCGAAGUUCUCCUUCAAAUUUUUCGUUGAUUCAAUGACCUGUUAUCCCUUAAUGUGACACGAAGGCGGUACAGAACCAGUUCACUGCUGUUUGGGAGGCAAUACCUGUCACUAUUAAAAUUGGUUUUCUCCUCGAAAUCUUGCCUGUCUCUAUUGAAGGACAAACAAAAAACAAGACAGUAAAAGUUCAUAUUUUCUCUUUCACCAGUUGUAACUUAAGCUUUUAAUUUUCUUUUUUUUUUUCUUUUGUUUAUUCUGUGAUCGUCAUUAUGACUAAGAUUUGUAAAUAUUAGAAUCGACGCCUUCUAUUUUAUUUAUUUUAUUUUUACCCUCUUGAAAAGUUCCUUGGGAAAGAGAGAAAAGAAAAAAAGAACAAAUGAAAUUUAGUUGGAAUUUUAGAAUCAACGAAACUGUCUAACUUGGGAUUUUCAUCUACAGAGCUUAAAAAGUUGUUUUCUUUUUUUAAAAAAAAAUCCAAAACUUUCAUGACUAGUGCCUUAACUAUACGAAAACUGAUUCGUGUUUGACUGAAAAGAAGUUCGGUUACGAUAACUGAUCCAUAUUAAAUGGAAGAGCUGAUGUUAGUUACUCUUGAACUGAUCUUUAACAUGUAGACCGACCAAUCCCUUUAAAUAUAUCCUUUAUAUUUCCUGUGAAAUAUAAAUUAUUAAUAUUAAAUAAAUGGCAAAAAAAAUGACGAAAUCCCUUUACUUGGCUUAAUAAAUUAUUCAAAGUGUCAUUUCGAUUUUUAUUUGAAUUUAUAUAUUGUUUUUUUCUAAAUCAUUUAUGAAACCGCCCCAACGUUGUUCUAUCCUUUAGCUUAAAAAGUAGCGAACAGGAAAUAACUUGAGAUAUUGUCAUAAUCAGAUAAAAAAAAAAGACUUGAAAGUAACAUGCUCUCAUUUCAAAUUCGUAUUCAAUUCGUGGACGUGUAUGAAAUCAAUAGUCAGAUUUUUUUUUAGAAGUAUGUUAAUAUGAAAAGAAUGAGUUACAAUCGUGAAAAAUGGUAUAGUGAAGAACGUUAGAGUGCCACGAAAAGUAUAUAUUUUAUAUUUAGGUUGGGCCUGUUGUGAGAGAUGACCAAUUAUAUUCGAGCCUGUAUGCGGUUUUCUACCUUCUAGAAAUAGCAGCCAAAUCUCAGAUACAACCUAUUGUCUAAAGAAAAGAGAAGAAAACGUAUAAUGUAGUCUUAGAUACACUGUCUGAAAAUACAAUGGAAUGGUCACGGUCAAAAUUCCUCUCAUUAUAUUCUGUUCUAUCAGUGCCGUCCUAUAAUUAAUGAUCAUCGAACAUUAGUUUGAUAAGAGUUGGGCUUGUUCCUUCGUAAUUUACUACAAUGUUUAAUAGGAUUUUUUUUUAAUAUUAAGUAAAGUAACCUAUUUCGCAUGCUUAUUUGAGUGGAUGGUUUUUG
Molecule: long non-coding RNA, 2703 nt
Filed under: Octopus vulgaris (common octopus)
Lineage: Eukaryota; Metazoa; Mollusca; Cephalopoda; Octopoda; Octopodidae
Source: RNAcentral